GACGGGCUGCCCACUCGCCACCGGGGCUACGGGACGGGGGCCCGGGGGGUCCAGGGGCCCGGCCCGGCGUGGCGGCGCGACGCGGGCAGCCGACCAGUGUUGCGAGCGAACUCGCGCGAGCAUCGAGAGUCCGAGCAUCCGAACGAGCCGCGUGUUAUCGUUCCCGCGCGCGUCAAGUGUCGCAUGUGCCCUGUGUCACCAAGUGUUGUGUCAAGUGACCCCAAGGAGUGAUUAUCCACCACUGAGAUUACCUUUCAUGCAGGUGCGGUUUAAGUUGAAAUUUACAAAAAUCAAGUACAGAAUUUCACGUGAGUACAUUAAGUCGUUUUCAGGGGAAAAGGGAUGAAGGCAUUGUUAGGGAGCUUUCUCCUUGAUCUUUUAAUAAUUUUGAUAAUCAUUUCUUAUCUGUAUAGAAUAUAAAUUUUGACAUACAUAAGUGUGCGUUUUCAAUAUUAUUCAUUAACUUGAAAAAUGAAUCUAGGUAUAGAAAUAGUUUUCAAUUUGCAUGCGGAUUAUUACAGGGAGAAUGCGAAUUCGUGUUAUAUUAGCAAGCAGUUUAUUCUAUUUGUGUUGAAGGUUCCUCCUGUAUAAUUAAUAAUACACAUUUAAGAGAGAAUGUUGCGUUGAUCCUUGAAAGUCAUUGUUUGUUUAACGCAGAAUGAAUUUGUUCAUGCGGCAGGGCGAAAACCUUUCAAAUAGGCCUCUAAGGGACUCAAGACUAUUAUCCCAGAAAACGUUACAAACUUUAAAAUUAGACUGAUUCAGGGGGAAACACGCCGAUGAGAUUAAACUUUGUUGAAUAGUGGCUCUCUCCGUUCAAAAUUUGCCAAAUGAAGAAGUUAAAUUCGCGUGGAAAUUCUCAUCGGAAUAAGAUGACUUUUAUUGAUAUCCCUCCUGUCGCCGAAAACAUUAAUAGACUCGGACGUAUUUUCAUCUUAUCGAUCGUGUUGUCCUUUCUUCGCAAACAAUAGGGCGUAUUUACGCUAAAAAGGAACUAGAUAUAGGGAAUUGAAUGGAAAGGAGCUACGUACAUAGGAUUUACAUUAGGCGCUUCAUGACUCUUUCCGAAUCAAUUCAUUUGAGACAAAAAAUAGCACAAGAACUAAUUAGAAUUAACUUUCAAGCUCUAACUCUAAUUUUAAGUAAUCCUGGCUUUUUGAUGUCCCUAAAAAUAAUGUGAACUCAGCUUGGCCUUGCUAAGGAAAAACGCCGUAUGAACAUUCGAGAAUUCCCAAAUUUCCCUCGUUAAAAUGUUCAUUUUUGAGGAAAGUUAUGAAUAUUUUUCCUUCAAAUUUUCAGAACCUUUAGGUAAAAUUUUGAACUUAAUUAUCUGAAAAAUUGGGAGGAAAAUAUUCAUAAAUUUACCAGGAAAUUUGCGUUUCAUGAAAGAAAAUUUAGCAACGUCUGAAGGUUUAUACGGAGCUUUUCCUUAGCAUGACAGAGCUCUAUUCUGCUAUCCUGCGUUUUACCUGCGCGGUCACAUUAGGAUUCUAUGAUUAAUGUCACAUAGAAUCGAGUUCUCAGCUCCACACGGCAGUCAUCGCUCAGUGUGAAAGAGACCUUGG
RNAcentral lists this long non-coding RNA (1565 nucleotides) under Bemisia tabaci. RNAcentral describes it as "lncRNA ENSSSA1UGG004421". The record is from RNAcentral. Lineage: Eukaryota; Metazoa; Arthropoda; Insecta; Hemiptera; Aleyrodidae.